AUUGAACGCUGGCGGCAGGCUUAACACAUGCAAGUCGAGCGGGGUGAUGGUGCUUGCACUAUCACUUAGCGGCGGACGGGUGAGUAAUGCUUAGGAAUCUGCCUAUUAGUGGGGGACAACAUCUCGAAAGGGAUGCUAAUACCGCAUACGUCCUACGGGAGAAAGCAGGGGAUCACUUGUGACCUUGCGCUAAUAGAUGAGCCUAAGUCGGAUUAGCUAGUUGGUGGGGUAAAGGCCUACCAAGGCGACGAUCUGUAGCGGGUCUGGGAGGGAGAUCCGCCACACUGGGACUGAGACACGGCCCGUACUCCUACGGGAGGCAGCAGUGGGGAGUAUUGGACAAUGGGGGGAACCCUGAUCCAGCCAUGCCGCGUGUGUGAAGAAGGCCUUAUGGUUGUAAAGCACUUUAAGCGAGGAGGAGGCUCUUUUGGUUAAUACCCAAGAUGAGUGGACGUUACUCGCAGAAUAAGCACCGGCUAACUCUGUGCCAGCCGCCGCCGGAA
This 503-nucleotide ribosomal RNA is filed under the name uncultured bacterium. RNAcentral's name for it is "partial 16S ribosomal RNA". It matches the Rfam family "Bacterial small subunit ribosomal RNA", at positions 30 to 523 of the family's 1533-position model. The record is from RNAcentral.